GAGCAACCCACAGAUAUGCUUCACAGUAAGAUGUCCUCCACAAGGUCUUUUGGCUGACCUGGAUGUUUCUGAUGGCAUAUAAUUUCGUUCAGAAAUGUUCAAAUGUCUUCAUAAAAUAUUUGAAAAUUAAUCAAUAUUGAUCUUCCCUUUUUGAAAAAAGAAUUUUCACCCCCUGCUCCCUUAACACCAAGUACAUGUACUGAUGCGCUUUCAAACUCCAGUGAUGCAGAAGGGUUGGAGAGAGCAUAGCCGGGCCUAUCUGCAAUCUCAAACUCUAGUAAUGCCAGAGAAGGUGGCAGGUUUGGUAAGUACAAACAUUCUCUUCUAUUAAUUUCUAGGUUUAAGGAAUUAAGUGUGAUUGAGACAUGAUGGCUUUGUGUUGUUUUUCUGUAUGCAAUUUCAUUAGGUGAUUCAAGACUUUAUUUUGCGGUUCAAUACUGAAACAUUUGCAAAAUUGCUUGAGCAGUAGGAGACAGCAUUCCAGCAGAAAGUCAUCAAAGAAGCAAAGUCUCUUACUUUGACAGCAGAAGUUCAAAGUUAUAUUAGUGCAACAGAGAAACAACAGUCUGAAAAUGACUGUAACGGUGACAUUUCCUCUUUCUUGCUGCUGUUGUAUUUGUUACCACCUACUGCAGGGAGGAACAAGGCUACAAUCAGUCCAACUGAUGUUGUUGACAGGCUUGUACAUUUUCAUAAGUCCCGUACCAGCAUUGAAGAACAUCUCAGCAGGAGAGAAGGUCACCAACCAUACCUACUUGCAGUAGGACGAACUAAGAAGAGGAUCAACAAUUUUUAUGUGGUUGUGAACAAGCAGCUCAUCCCUUGUGCAGGAACCACCUCCCUGAGUGCCAUUGAUAAACUUUCAAAGUUCAUUACAUUUUUAACCUUGCCUAUGAAGAAUCUCUGGCAAAUGUCUAGAGCCUUUUAUUUAAUGUUAUCCUUUUUAAAUGAUCACCAAUAGCACUUAUUUAUUUUUUACACAAUUGCCAUGCAUAUAGUGCCAUGCAUUUUGAUUAGCUCAGUGUUACAGCACAGUGUUUGCUCAAAAGGAUUAAUAGCAGCUGUAACCAAUAUGUAAAUGUACAUAUAUGUAAAUUAACUUUUGUAUCCUCUAUAAAUUGCCAUUGAGACUGUGCUUUUU
Erpetoichthys calabaricus (reedfish) is the source of this 1141-nucleotide long non-coding RNA. RefSeq lists it as uncharacterized. The transcript has 3 exons. NCBI's taxonomy places the organism in Eukaryota, Metazoa, Chordata, Cladistia, Polypteriformes, Polypteridae. The record is from RefSeq and is a predicted model, not a curated record.